This 459-nucleotide ribosomal RNA is filed under the name uncultured bacterium. RNAcentral's name for it is "partial 16S ribosomal RNA". It matches the Rfam family "Bacterial small subunit ribosomal RNA", at positions 338 to 795 of the family's 1533-position model. The record is from RNAcentral.
CCUACGGGUGGCAGCAGUGAGGAAUAUUGGUCAAUGGCCGGGAGGCUGAACCAGCCAAGUCGCGUGAGGGAAGACGGCCCUACGGGUUGUAAACCUCUUUUGUCAGGGAGCAAGGUGCAGGUCGGGACCUGCUGUGCGAGUACCUGAAGAAAAAGCAUCGGCUAACUCCGUGCCAGCAGCCGCGGUAAUACGGAGGAUGCGAGCGUUAUCCGGAUUUUUUGGGUUUAAAGGGUGCGCAGGCGGAGGCACAAGGCAGCGGUAAAAUCGCGGGGCUCAACCCCGCUCCGCCGUUGAAACUGUGUCGCUUGAGUGCGCGAAGGGUAGGCGGAAUUCGUGGUGUAGCGGUGAAAUGCAUAGAUAUCACGCAGAACUCCGAUCGCGAAGGCAGCCUGCCGGCGCGGAACUGACGCUGAUGCACGAAAGCGUGGGUAUCGAACAGGAUUAGAUACCCGAGUAGUC